Molecule: ribosomal RNA, 447 nt
Filed under: uncultured bacterium
Lineage: Bacteria
Description: bacterial SSU rRNA
Rfam family: Bacterial small subunit ribosomal RNA
Source: RNAcentral
CCAGACUCCUACGGGAGGCAGCAGUGGGGAAUAUUGCACAAUGGGCGCAAGCCUGAUGCAGCAACGCCGCGUGAGCGAAGAAGGUCUUCGGAUCGUAAAGCUCUGUCCUUGAGGAAGAAGGAAGUGACGGUACUCAAGGAGGAAGCCCCGGCUAACUACGUGCCAGCAGCCGCGGUAAUACGUAGGGGGCAAGCGUUAUCCGGAAUUAUUGGGCGUAAAGAGUACGUAGGUGGUUUUGUAAGCGCGGGGUGAAAGGCAGUGGCUUAACCAUUGUAAGCCUUGCGAACUGCAAGACUUGAGUGCAGGAGAGGAAAGCGGAAUUCCUAGUGUAGCGGUGAAAUGCGUAGAUAUCAGGAGGAACACCGGCGGCGAAGGCGGCCUGCUGGACCGUGACUGACGUUGAGGCUCGAGAGCGUGGGGAGCAAACAGGAUUAGAUACCCCCGUAC